GCAGUGGUGAUUCAAUGGUAGAAUUCUCACCCUCUGUACAGGAGACCUGGGUUCGAUUCCCGGCCAAGGCA
This 71-nucleotide transfer RNA is filed under the name Loxodonta africana (African savanna elephant). It matches the Rfam family "tRNA". From Rfam's summary of the family: Transfer RNA (tRNA) molecules are approximately 80 nucleotides in length. The record is from Rfam by way of RNAcentral. Lineage: Eukaryota; Metazoa; Chordata; Mammalia; Proboscidea; Elephantidae.